Molecule: long non-coding RNA, 227 nt
Filed under: Vitis vinifera (wine grape)
Lineage: Eukaryota; Viridiplantae; Streptophyta; Magnoliopsida; Vitales; Vitaceae
Description: long non-coding RNA (VVIN_LNC003165)
Source: RNAcentral
UUGGUCUGAAAACCCAUGGGUUGAGCUUCAUUGCCUGAUUGAAGCUAAAGUCCCAUUGAGUGCUAACAUGGGUUAGGAUUGGGUCUGAUUGAAUUAAAAUUAAGGACUUUUUACAAGCUCGUCAUUGGGCCAUAUAGAGUUGGGCAUGGAAUGGUUGGGUAGGAAGGGAGGUUGCAGUGGUGUGGGUGUUAGCUUGUCCGUUCCAAGAUGAGUGGUUCCUAGAGCGG